AGCCCUUAGGAAAUUAUUUCGGGUGAAGCCUGCCCUAUGACUAAGAUGUUGUUAAAUGGCCGCGGUACCCUGACCGUGCUAAGGUAGCAUAAUCAAUUGGCUUUUAAAUGGAGUCUGGAAUGAAUGGAAAUACGGAGUAAAGCUGUCUCUAAUUCUUUAUUAUGAACUUACUAAUUGGGUGAAAAGGCCCAUUUAAGAAAAAAGACGAGAAGACCCUUAGAGUUUUCUCUUUUGUUGGGGCGACACAGAGUCCGAAGAUGUGGCAAAACACUCUGAAUGAAAUAAGACGGUUGUAUCAUGUUUAGACAAACUACCUGAGGGAUAACAGCAUAAUCUUUUUAGGUUUGUGACCUCGAUGUUGGACUAGGAAGUCUGCUAGCUAGCCGCUAGUAAGAGGGAUUCUGUUCGAAUUUUUUACUCCU
Molecule: ribosomal RNA, 422 nt
Filed under: Philine sp. 6 TRO-2014
Lineage: Eukaryota; Metazoa; Mollusca; Gastropoda; Cephalaspidea; Philinidae
Description: partial 16S ribosomal RNA
Rfam family: Archaeal large subunit ribosomal RNA
Source: RNAcentral